GGUAGACCAACCUCAAGCAGGUCCACUCAUUCUGUUCCAGAAUCGGACUCAAUAGGACGCCCGUGGUAUCCGCGCUCGUCUCUGAGUCGCCGUCGUCAUUCAGAGCGGCAUCCACGGCGAUGAAAUGGCCUGCGACGGAGGAGAAAAGAAGAGCUGACCCGUUGAAAACGCCGAAAUGUGCUCUUGCACACAGUCCAGAUGUCUUAGGAUGUUGGAGUCAAUCGAGACCAGAUGUGCUUCCUCUCACCAACAUUAAAAGCGGGAGCCAUCGCCAUUGAAAAGGCAUGCAAUGAGUUGUAUUUAUUUAUUUUUGGGGGUGGGUGGGUGGGGGGGGGGUCAUUUGGAGUCAUCUUCCAAGAAUGAAAAAUCAGAGUGCAGAGGAAACGUAUAAAACAGCCCAAUUACCGUCGGUGUGGAGGAUCCAGCUGCUAAAGUCUGCAUCUGACAUGUAACCGCAGGUGUCGGCGUCAAAGUUGCAGGAGCCGGGCAACAACUGCUUGCGCGCUUGGACGGCG
Long non-coding RNA from Hippocampus zosterae (dwarf seahorse), 515 nucleotides. RefSeq lists it as uncharacterized. The transcript is spliced from 2 exons. The record is from RefSeq and is a predicted model, not a curated record. Lineage: Eukaryota; Metazoa; Chordata; Actinopteri; Syngnathiformes; Syngnathidae.